Molecule: long non-coding RNA, 869 nt
Organism: Brassica oleracea var. oleracea
Lineage: Eukaryota; Viridiplantae; Streptophyta; Magnoliopsida; Brassicales; Brassicaceae
Exons: 3
Source: RefSeq, a predicted model, not a curated record
AAAAAAAAUUUCUAUCUCUCUCUUCGUUAAUUUUUCUUUCGUUCUUCUUCCUUCUUCUUCGUUCUUCUUCCUUCUUCUCUAUUUGCAUGUCACGAAACCGAUCGAUCACUGCUACGGAGCAGUGCUACCUCCUCCUCCAAAUCCGUCAAUGAAAUCACCGUUGAGAUUUGGUGCCGUCGACUUGACGCUAUCGACUUGGUUCCAUCGACUUGGUGCCAUCGACUUGGUUCCAUCGAAUUGGUUCCAUCGAUUUGGUUCCAAAACUGGGAGAGAGGAAGAACAUGGAACCAAAUCGAUGUAAUAAGAGAUAAAGCUAUGGUGGGUUUGAGAGAGAACACUCCCGUGGAAACGUUAACGCAAAGGUGUGAUAAUGUUCAUCACCCACUCUCUGGCAGAGACGGAUCAAACUUGGGCAAAGCAUCUUUCUUUCAUUUAAUUUGGCAAGAGGUUAGUAGAGUUUUCUUUUAAUGUGUGUUAGAUAGUGAUUAGGUUGGGCGUUAGACAGUCAUUAGGUUGGUAGGAUUGCUUUACAUUAAGUUGUGUUGGUUGAUUUGUUUGAAAAGAAAAGAACCGAAGAAUGUACGAGUUUUGGUUGAUUUGUUUCGGUUGUUAUAAUGUUGCAUUCAAUAUAUGAAACUAUGUAGAAAGUUUUGUGAAAUUAUUAAUAGGCAUAAGUCAGCAUCACAUUAAUUCACACAUCUCUCUGAUGAGACUAAAUGUAUAUGAGUUUUUACUGCAAUUGAGCGCAAUUGCAAUUCCCUGCUUUGCAACUCCCUGCUUUGAACAACAUCAGCCACAAAUUCUUCACCAUGAGAAUAUGUAUGCUCAGUAUCCUAGACCUAUUGUGUGUUAUGAUUCAACUUUAAAAA